Molecule: ribosomal RNA, 520 nt
Filed under: uncultured Paraglomus
Lineage: Eukaryota; Fungi; Glomeromycota; Glomeromycetes; Paraglomerales; Paraglomeraceae
Description: bacterial SSU rRNA
Rfam family: Eukaryotic small subunit ribosomal RNA
Source: RNAcentral
AGCAGCCGCGGUAAUUCCAGCUCCAAUAGCGUAUAUUAAAGUUGUUGCAGUUAAAAAGCUCGUAGUUGAACUUCAGGCCUGGCUGGACGGUCCGCCCUCUGGGUGAGCACUGUCUGUGGUCGGGUCCUACCUUCUGGCGAAGCGGCAUGGCCUUAACCGGCCGUGGCGGGGAACCAGGACUUUUACUGUGAAAAAAUUAGAGUGUUCAAAGCAGGCACGCGCUUGAAUACAUUAGCAUGGAAUAAUGGAAUAGGACAAUGGUUCUAUUUGUUGGUUUCUAGGACCGUUGUAAUGAUUAAUAGGGAUAGUUGGGGGCAUUAGUAUUCAAUUGUCAGAGGUGAAAUUCUUGGAUUUAUUGAAGACUAACUACUGCGAAAGCAUUUGCCAAGGAUGUUUUCAUUAAUCAAGAACGAAAGUUAGGGAUCGAAGACGAUCAGAUACCGUCGUAGUCUUAACCAUAAACUAUAGACCGGACUAGGGAUCGGAUGAUGUUAAUUUUUAUGUACUCAUUCGGCGUACC